GCAAUGACGGUACCCGUCGAGGAAGCCACGGCUAACUACGUGCCAGCAGCCGCGGUAAUACGUAGGUGGCGAGCGUUGUCCGGAAUUAUUGGGCGUAAAGGGAGCGCAGGCGGGAAGGCAAGUCAGUCUUAAAAGUGCGGGGCUCAACCCCGUGAUGGGAUUGAAACUGUCUUUCUUGAGUGCAGGAGAGGAAAGCGGAAUUCCUAGUGUAGCGGUGAAAUGCGUAGAUAUUAGGAGGAACACCAGUGGCGAAGGCGGCUUUCUGGACUGUAACUGACGCUGAGGCUCGAAAGCGUGGGGAGCGAACAGGAUUAGAUACCCUGGUAGUCCACGCCGUAAACGAUGAAUGCUAGGUGUAGGAGGUAUCGACCCCUUCUGUGCCGGAGUUAACGCAAUAAGCAUUCCGCCUGGGGAGUACGGUCGCAAGACUGAAACUCAAAGGAAUUGACGGGGGCCCGCACAAGCGGUGGAGUAUGUGGUUUAAUUCGACGCAACGCGAAGAACCUUACCAGGGCUUGACAUUGA
Molecule: non-coding RNA, 525 nt
Filed under: Pseudoselenomonas ruminantium
Lineage: Bacteria; Bacillati; Bacillota; Negativicutes; Selenomonadales; Selenomonadaceae
Description: Selenomonas ruminantium Bacterial small subunit ribosomal RNA
Rfam family: Bacterial small subunit ribosomal RNA
Source: Rfam by way of RNAcentral